CAACUCUAAAGAAGAGGAUGCUUUAAAAUUUCUCCAGAAAAUGGAGGAGAGUCGAUGUAAGCCUGAUAUUUCUACUUACAUGCCAUUAUUUAAAAUGUGCUGCAGAAUGAGGAGACUGAAGGUUCUAUCCUUCUUAUUGAACCACAUGUUCAAAAAUGACGUGAGCAUGGAUCUUGGAACAUAUGCUCUUCUGGUUCGCGGCCUUUGUAGGAACAGGAAUCCUGAGCGUGCUUGUGCUGUUUUUGAACUAGCAGUGCUACGAGGGUUCCUCCCUACAGACACCAUGUAUGAUAAUCUCGUCAAAGAACUCGAGAAAAG
Molecule: unclassified non-coding RNA, 318 nt
Filed under: Hevea brasiliensis (rubber tree)
Lineage: Eukaryota; Viridiplantae; Streptophyta; Magnoliopsida; Malpighiales; Euphorbiaceae
Source: RNAcentral